Molecule: ribosomal RNA, 444 nt
Filed under: uncultured bacterium
Lineage: Bacteria
Description: SSU rRNA
Rfam family: Bacterial small subunit ribosomal RNA
Source: RNAcentral
AGGAUGAACGCUGGCGGUCUGCUUAACACAUGCAAGUCGAACGGAGUAGCAAUACUUAGUGGCGGACGGGUGAGUAACGCGUGAGAAUCUACCUUCAGGACGGAGACAACAGUUGGAAACGACUGCUAACCCCCGAUGUACCGAAAGGGCAAAUAUUUAUAGCCUGAAGAAGAGCUCGCGUCCGAUUAGCUAGUUGGAGAGGUAAAAGCUCACCAAGGCGACGAUCGGUAGCUGGUCUGAGAGGACGAUCAGCCACACUGGGACUGAGACACGGCCCAGACUCCUACGGGAGGCAGCAGUUGGGAAUCUUGGACAAUGGGGGAAACCCUGAUCCAGCCAUGCCGCGUGAGUGAUAAAGGCCUUCGGGUUGUAAAACUCUUUCGACGGGACGAUAAUGACGGUACCCGUAGAAGAAGCUCCGGCUAACUUCGUGCCAGCAGCCGC